RNAcentral lists this ribosomal RNA (398 nucleotides) under uncultured Alphaproteobacteria bacterium. Its description in RNAcentral is "bacterial SSU rRNA". It matches the Rfam family "Bacterial small subunit ribosomal RNA", at positions 9 to 425 of the family's 1533-position model. Lineage: Bacteria; Pseudomonadati; Pseudomonadota; Alphaproteobacteria. The record is from RNAcentral.
GAGUUUGAUCCUGGCUCAGAACGAACGCUGGCGGCAGGCCUAACACAUGCAAGUCGAACGAGCUGGGACCUUCGGGUCCCGAUGCUAGUGGCGCACGGGUGAGUAACACGUGGGAAUCUACCCAAUAGUACGGAAUAACUGAGGGAAACUUUGGCUAAUACCGUAUACGCCCUUCGGGGUAAGAUUUAUCGCUAUUGGAUGAGCCCGCGUCUGAUUAGGUAGUUGGUGAGGUAACGGCUCACCAAGCCGACGAUCAGUAGCUGGUCUGAGAGGAUGAUCAGCCACACUGGGACUGAGACACGGCCCAGACUCCUACGGGAGGCAGCAGUGGGGAAUAUUGGACAAUGGGCGCAAGCCUGAUCCAGCCAUGCCGCGUGAGUGAAGAAGGCCUUCGGUUG